GGCACUUGGUACGCCAGUAGACAUGAAGUAAAGUUCUCCUGCUUCAUCUUCAGCAAAAGAGAUUAUGUACUGGUAAUAGUUAUUGAUGAGCCCGGGGAACAUGCAGGUUUGUCCUGUUCCCAUGCAGAUCUCGCUGUAUUGCCACUCUCCGGUAGCGCGAUCCUCUUUCAAAGACAUCAGGCGUCCACUCAUAAAGUCACCAAAUAUGUACAGGCCAUUCAGGUUCGGAGACUCACAGCCUCGAUAGACAUAGCCUCCUGUAACGGAUUUCCCCAUUUUGUGUGGAUAUGCAUAGAUUGGAAGCACAUCAUCCAGCGAAGAAUUGACGCAAAGCUUUUUAUCAUAACAGCUGAAUCCUUCCCUCGCCCUCCAGCCGUAGUUUUUCCCCUUCUCUACAAUGUCGAUCUCUUCGUAUUUGUUCUGUCCUACAUCCCCG
Molecule: long non-coding RNA, 436 nt
Filed under: Gallus gallus (chicken)
Lineage: Eukaryota; Metazoa; Chordata; Aves; Galliformes; Phasianidae
Source: RNAcentral